Zingiber officinale is the source of this 906-nucleotide long non-coding RNA. RefSeq lists it as uncharacterized. The record is from RefSeq and is a predicted model, not a curated record. Lineage: Eukaryota; Viridiplantae; Streptophyta; Magnoliopsida; Zingiberales; Zingiberaceae. The transcript has 4 exons.
UAUAAGAAGCUACAGUACACCCACCGAGCCCUAAAACGCCGACUCCCCUCUUCUCGGGUCAUUUCCUCCCGAUCUCGUCGACGGACGCAGCUCCGACUCACGGCCGCGCCGGAAUACCGGCCCUGUGUAGCAGGGCGAGUCUCCGACUUCCUCGACAGAUCGGAGGAGGUCUCACCGACGGUGUCUUCCCUCGAAACCGCCUCUUCGCCCAGGGGAUUUCCAGUCGGGUGAUGAGAUUUGGGUCCUGUGGACACGGGGGGUGAUAUCGCCUGUUCCAAAGCGAUGCUGGACGAGGAUUUGCAUUUCAAGGAGCUGUCUCAUUUUCCCGAGCCUUAGAGCCAAGCCGAUUCCGUCGAGUUUCUCUUCCGCCGCUUGUGGUGGCUCCUGGCAGUGAGGUAGGUCAGUGGCUUGCUGGGAAGGGCUCGAUCACAGUUCCAGCAGCUGGUUUUCCUCCGGGAAUCAAUAGCUUUGUGAGAGCUCGGAUCUGUGAAUCAACAACAUUGGGCAGCAUCAGUGUGCUAGUGCCAGCGAGUCUAUCUUCCAGCAACGAUUCUUCAUCCGGGAAGCAGUAGCCUUGUAGAAACAUUGGUUGUGCAUCUGAGGUAGUGAGCAGCACCAUUGAACUUGUGCCGACGAUUCCACCUACCGACAGUGAGUCAACAUCGGGGAGUUAGGUAAGGUAUCUUGAUUUUGUUAGAAUUGGAAGCUUGUUGAUUGUUGCUUAAUUAAUUGAUAGAUGUAGAUUUUGUUAAGGAAUGAGAUAAUUUCGUAUGGUACCAGUGUAUAUGGAACCAAUGCAUGUUUAGAAUUCCUUAUGUUGAUCAGAUUUGGCUGGGAAUUGUGUGAUCUGAAGACAUAAAUUAGGGCUUGGGAAUUGUUGUGGAGUAGAUCAGUGUAGGGUUUAUU